UACAGAGGGUGCAAGCGUUAAUCGGAAUUACUGGGCGUAAAGCGUGCGUAGUCGGUUAUCUAAGUCGGAUGCGAAAUCCCCGGGCUCAACCUGGGAAUUGCAUUCGAUACUGGAUAGCUAGAGUUCGGCAGAGGGAAGUGGAAUUUCGGGUGUAGCGGUGAAAUGCGUAGAUAUCCGAAGGAACAUCAGUGGCGAAAGCGACUUCCUGGACCAGAACUGACGAUCAGGCACGAAAGCGUGGGGAGCAAACAGG
This 253-nucleotide ribosomal RNA is filed under the name uncultured bacterium. Its description in RNAcentral is "partial 16S ribosomal RNA". It matches the Rfam family "Bacterial small subunit ribosomal RNA", at positions 524 to 776 of the family's 1533-position model. The record is from RNAcentral.